Molecule: ribosomal RNA, 237 nt
Filed under: uncultured Sphingomonadales bacterium
Lineage: Bacteria; Pseudomonadati; Pseudomonadota; Alphaproteobacteria; Sphingomonadales
Description: partial 16S ribosomal RNA
Rfam family: Bacterial small subunit ribosomal RNA
Source: RNAcentral
UACGGAGGGAGCUAGCGUUGUUCGGAAUUACUGGGCGUAAAGCGCACGUAGGCGGCUUUGUAAGUUAGAGGUGAUAGCCUGGAGCUCAACUCCAGAAUUGCCUUUAAGACUGCAUCGCUUGAAUCCAGGAGAGAUGAGUGGAAUUCCGAGUGUAGAGGUGAAAUUCGUAGAUAUUCGGAAGAACACCAGUGGCGAAGGCGUCAUCACUGGACUGGUGUUGACGCUGAGGUGCGAAAG